AUUGAACGCUGGCGGCAGGCCUAACACAUGCAAGUCGAACGGUAACAGGAAGCAGCUUGCUGCUUCGCUGACGAGUGGCGGACGGGUGAGUAAUGUCUGGGAAGCUGCCUGAUGGAGGGGGAUAACUACUGGAAACGGUAGCUAAUACCGCAUAAUGUCGCAAGACCAAAGAGGGGGACCUUCGGGCCUCUUGCCAUCGGAUGUGCCCAGAUGGGAUUAGCUUGUUGGUGGGGUAACGGCUCACCAAGGCGACGAUCCCUAGCUGGUCUGAGAGGAUGACCAGCCACACUGGAACUGAGACACGGUCCAGACUCCUGCGGGAGGCAGCAGUGGGGAAUAUUGCACAAUGGGCGCAAGCCUGAUGAAGCCAUGCCGCGUGUAUGAAGAAGGCCUUCGGGUUGUAAAGUACUUUCAGCGGGGAGGAAGGGAGUAAAGUUAAUACCUUUGCUCAUUGACGUUACCCGCAGAAGAAGCACGGGCUAACUCCGUG
Molecule: ribosomal RNA, 490 nt
Filed under: uncultured bacterium
Lineage: Bacteria
Description: partial 16S ribosomal RNA
Rfam family: Bacterial small subunit ribosomal RNA
Source: RNAcentral